GAACAUUGAAGACUUCAUACCACCCAGUCAGGAUGCAGAUGACCGGCUUUCUUAUUUGGAAAGCAUUCUGGCUGCCUCUGCAUUGAGACCACAUACAUGCGAAGUUCUGCGGAAUGUGUGGACAUUUCCUAGCGAACAGGCACCUUGCAGGUUCUAUUUCAGCUGUGCUUCCUGUAGCAGACAGUGUUCCCGAGAACGAGAGGCAGGAGCUGACCGAGGCCAUGUCUGCCGAGAUGCUGCGCCGCUGCCGCAAGAGUCCGGCUGGAUUCAGUGCCGAGUUUGACGUCUAUGUUGUGCAUGCCUCCCGAUCUGCUGCCUCUAGUCCGCCACAAUGAUCGACAAUGCACAGCUACUCGAAAUCGAGAGGGUGUGGCUUGUCGCACCUCUGUAACACGACUUGUUCAUAAGACAACAGCGUAAAUUCGCACUAGUGUGGAGAACUGGGCUAGUUAAUAUGCACGCACUGACCGUUGUUGUUGAGAGAUGCAUUAGAACUGUUUGCUGCAUCGAACCAAUCAUCCAUGAAUGAACCUCUGAAAAUGGCUCCCCUUUCAUACCCCUUAUUCUGACAAAGCACAUAUUGUGUGGCCCAUCAUGUGCCCUAUCUCAUAUCCCACUUAUCGCAAAAAUAGCCUUGAUUCACUGUUUAACAGUAUAAGUUAUGUUGUGGCAUAUGUACGGUAGUUGAAUGGGUCACACACCACAGCUGUUGUAUACCCACAUGUUGACUAUAAUGAGCUGUGCCGACACCUCUUGUGCUUGCUUCCACACAGACAAGCCACACUCCUUUCUAGCUACUUAUAACCUACUCAUUUAUCAACCCUAUCAUCUCAUGAUAAUAAACAAAAGCAAAUAGCGGUUUCUGGGUUUGUGCCUUUCAUUUAUGAUGUAGCUGAGCAAUGUGCAAUAAAAGUAUAAAACAUGCAUUGCGUUUGUGAUAU
Long non-coding RNA from Rhipicephalus microplus (southern cattle tick), 941 nucleotides. The record is from RefSeq and is a predicted model, not a curated record. NCBI's taxonomy places the organism in Eukaryota, Metazoa, Arthropoda, Arachnida, Ixodida, Ixodidae.